This 97-nucleotide non-coding RNA is filed under the name Cupriavidus basilensis. Its description in RNAcentral is "Glycine sequence". It matches the Rfam family "Glycine riboswitch aptamer". Rfam says of the family: This family represents the bacterial glycine riboswitch. Glycine riboswitches usually consist of two metabolite-binding aptamers domains with similar structures in tandem. The record is from Rfam by way of RNAcentral. Lineage: Bacteria; Pseudomonadati; Pseudomonadota; Betaproteobacteria; Burkholderiales; Burkholderiaceae.
AAGUUGAUAUCGGGAGAGACUGCCUGGCCAAGCGCCGGGCGGCGCCGAAGGAGCAACCGCCCCGGAAACUCUCAGGCAAAAGGACCGGUAUCACGUU